CACGAGUGAACGCUGGCGGCAGGCCUAACACAUGCAAGUCGAGCGGCAGCACAGCCGUAGCAAUACGGUGGGUGGCGAGCGGCGGACGGUGAGG
This 94-nucleotide ribosomal RNA is filed under the name uncultured soil bacterium. RNAcentral's name for it is "partial 16S ribosomal RNA". The record is from RNAcentral.